Mustela erminea (ermine) is the source of this 639-nucleotide long non-coding RNA. RefSeq lists it as uncharacterized. The transcript has 3 exons. NCBI's taxonomy places the organism in Eukaryota, Metazoa, Chordata, Mammalia, Carnivora, Mustelidae. The record is from RefSeq and is a predicted model, not a curated record.
UUUUUUUUUAGGUAAAUGAAAUAGGUGUGAACUUGACCCGGUUAAAGCGUUCUGCCCCCACUACAUACUAAUUAGAAUCACCUGGAGGGCUCUGAAAACUUGCUGACACCUGGGGUUCUGGUUGCAGUCUGGACCCUGGGAGUUUUAAAAAGCUCCCCAGGUGAUUCUGAUGUACCUAUAAGGUCGUGACCCCUGCUGGUGCUUGAGUCCGGGGCACAGUUAAAACUGAAAUACUUACUCCCUUGAUUGCCCCCAAAGCGCUACAAAUGAUGAUGGACUGCAUCAUUUGUGUUUUGGCUUGAUUGGAAGGAGGGAGACCUCUUCUUUUUAGGGUUCUUCUCCAGGGUUAUGAAUCCUGGUGAUGCCUCAUAAGAAGUGGUUAAACUCUCUUUCCAAGAAGAUGCUGAGAUUUCCUACAGAUAGAGAUUUCCCUCCCUUCCUAAUUACCCCGUGAGCACCUCACUGAAGAUAAUGAACGCACAGAGCUAGCUCAGCAGAAGCAGCUGCUGCAGACAAGAAAGGCCUAGACGGCUGGUACGUCCGGCCCUCCUCCCUCUUGCCUGCUCCUCGGCCCCGCCACAGUGAUUAAGAAUUCAUGAUUGUGGAGCGCCUGGGUGGCUCAGUGGGUUAAGCCUCUGC